ACUACUAUGUAGAGUUUGAUCAUGGCUCAGAUUGAACGCUGGCGGCAUGCCUUACACAUGCAAGUCGAACGGUAACGCGGGGCAACCUGGCGACGAGUGGCGAACGGGUGAGUAACGCAUCGGAACGUGCCCAGUAGUGGGGGAUAGCCCGGCGAAAGCCGGAUUAAUACCGCAUACGACCUACGGGUGAAAGAGGGGGAUCGCAAGACCUCUCGCUAUUGGAGCGGCCGAUGUCAGAUUAGGUAGUUGGUGGGGUAAAGGCCUACCAAGCCGACGAUCUGUAGCUGGUCUGAGAGGACGACCAGCCACACUGGGGACUGAGACACGGCCCAGACUCCUACGGGAGGCAGCAGUGGGGAAUUUUGGACAAUGGGCGCAAGCCUGAUCCAGCCAUGCCGCGUGCGGGAAGAAGGCCUUCGGGUUGUAAACCGCUUUUGUCAGGGAAGAAAUCCUUUGGGCUAAUACCCCGGGGGGAUGACGGUACCUGAAGAAUAAGCACCGGCUAACUACGAGCCAGCUGCCGCGG
RNAcentral lists this ribosomal RNA (526 nucleotides) under uncultured Rubrivivax sp. Its description in RNAcentral is "bacterial SSU rRNA". It matches the Rfam family "Bacterial small subunit ribosomal RNA", at positions 1 to 520 of the family's 1533-position model. Lineage: Bacteria; Pseudomonadati; Pseudomonadota; Betaproteobacteria; Burkholderiales; Sphaerotilaceae. The record is from RNAcentral.